RNAcentral lists this ribosomal RNA (944 nucleotides) under Leuconostoc mesenteroides. RNAcentral's name for it is "bacterial SSU rRNA". It matches the Rfam family "Bacterial small subunit ribosomal RNA", at positions 385 to 1322 of the family's 1533-position model. Lineage: Bacteria; Bacillati; Bacillota; Bacilli; Lactobacillales; Lactobacillaceae. The record is from RNAcentral.
GAUGGAGCACGCCGCGUGUGUGAUGAAGGCUUUCGGGUCGUAAAGCACUGUUGUAUGGGAAGAACAGCUAGAAUAGGAAAUGAUUUUAGUUUGACGGUACCAUACCAGAAAGGGACGGCUAAAUACGUGCCAGCAGCCGCGGUAAUACGUAUGUCCCGAGCGUUAUCCGGAUUUAUUGGGCGUAAAGCGAGCGCAGACGGUUUAUUAAGUCUGAUGUGAAAGCCCGGAGCUCAACUCCGGAAUGGCAUUGGAAACUGGUUAACUUGAGUGCAGUAGAGGUAAGUGGAACUCCAUGUGUAGCGGUGGAAUGCGUAGAUAUAUGGAAGAACACCAGUGGCGAAGGCGGCUUACUGGACUGCAACUGACGUUGAGGCUCGAAAGUGUGGGUAGCAAACAGGAUUAGAUACCCUGGUAGUCCACACCGUAAACGAUGAACACUAGGUGUUAGGAGGUUUCCGCCUCUUAGUGCCGAAGCUAACGCAUUAAGUGUUCCGCCUGGGGAGUACGACCGCAAGGUUGAAACUCAAAGGAAUUGACGGGGACCCGCACAAGCGGUGGAGCAUGUGGUUUAAUUCGAAGCAACGCGAAGAACCUUACCAGGUCUUGACAUCCUUUGAAGCUUUUAGAGAUAGAAGUGUUCUCUUCGGAGACAAAGUGACAGGUGGUGCAUGGUCGUCGUCAGCUCGUGUCGUGAGAUGUUGGGUUAAGUCCCGCAACGAGCGCAACCCUUAUUGUUAGUUGCCAGCAUUCAGAUGGGCACUCUAGCGAGACUGCCGGUGACAAACCGGAGGAAGGCGGGGACGACGUCAGAUCAUCAUGCCCCUUAUGACCUGGGCUACACACGUGCUACAAUGGCGUAUACAACGAGUUGCCAACCCGCGAGGGUGAGCUAAUCUCUUAAAGUACGUCUCAGUUCGGAUUGUAGUCUGCAACUCGACUACAUG